UACGGGGGGGGCAAGCGUUGUUCGGAAUUACUGGGCGUAAAGGGCUCGUAGGCGGCCAACUAAGUCGGACGUGAAAUCCCCAGGCUCAACCUGGGAACUGCGUCCGAUACUGGAUGGCUUGAAUCCGGGAGAGGGAUGCAGAAUUCCAGGUGUAGCGGUGAAAUGCGCAGAUAUCGGGAGGGACACCAGUAGCGAAGGCGGUUCUCUGGGCCGGUACUGACGCUGAGGAGCGAAAGCGUGGGGAGCAAACAGG
Molecule: ribosomal RNA, 253 nt
Filed under: uncultured bacterium
Lineage: Bacteria
Description: partial 16S ribosomal RNA
Rfam family: Bacterial small subunit ribosomal RNA
Source: RNAcentral